Molecule: long non-coding RNA, 4848 nt
Filed under: Linum usitatissimum (flax)
Lineage: Eukaryota; Viridiplantae; Streptophyta; Magnoliopsida; Malpighiales; Linaceae
Description: long non-coding RNA (LUSI_LNC007302)
Source: RNAcentral
UGACUACUCUUUUAUACUAGUAUUUGAUGGGUGGGUGUUGUGUUCAUGUAUGUCUCAGUCCUAUUGUGACCUUUAAGCAUCUCUACUGUAUGUUGUAACUGUGUGAAGGGACUUUGUGGUACGGUUCAUGAGGAGAGAACAGAAGAGAGCUCCAUUUCUUUUACUACACCAGAUGACUUUUGAGAUAAGAAGUUCAGACUACGACUAGUCAGACCCCAUCCACGCAAUGUGCCUGGACCGGCUUUCGGUGUCCAAUAGAAAAUAUACACAUCAUGGCUUAAUCAGGCCAUCACUAACUUUGAAGAUACCAAGAGUUCAUGACCACAUCAAGCCUUGCAGUUAUAGGAUUCAGAACCUAGGUAAUACUCCAGGCGUGCCAUUCAACCAUACAACAUCAUUCAAAUCAUUGAUUAGAAUUCAGAAUCAGAACUACUGGAGCAACUAACAACAGCAUUAGAGGCUUCAUCAAAUCUCCUGAUAACAUUAUAGUCACCCAUGUGUGGAACUUGCCAACUUCCAUUCCUCUGUAAAAGCCUUGUGUUUUCUUCCCAUCAUCAUCCCAAACCUCCGUACUCGAUCUCUGGGGGUUCGUUUCACAGCUUUUCCUUUCUCGAAUUCUGCUUUCCAUUCAUUUUGAAUGAAUCCAACUACUAACAUUACUAAAAUACUGGGGCAAUUGUUCGAUCAACCAACGACAUGAGAGUGAAGAUAACAGAUUUCAAUAGAUUAUUCAGGUAUUGAGAUAGAUAACACUCAUUUCUUCUAAGGUAAAUACAUACCAUGUACACCUCUUUCGUCCAAACCACUAGCCAGCGAAAACCCUGCCCAACAAUUUUAUAAUUUACCAAUGAGCCUUGACGAAGCACGUAAAAUGGAUAUCAGUAUUCAGCUGUCACAAGGCAUGAUAUGUUAGGCAAAACCACUUUCUAUUGUGAUCGAGAUUUUGAAGCAGAAUUUAAGAACUGUUAUAUGUGACCGAGACACUGGAUGAGAGAUAACAACCGAUGAAAAUCAUCAAAUUGUCGAAACACAAACAGAAACCUGAGGAUUCAUCAAAGUAGCAUUAGCACAAAACCAUCAGUUUGAUUUACCUUUAGUAUGAAACCACAAUAGCUCCUAGCAACAAGCAACCUUCAGCACAUAUAUUUCUCGAACAAGCUUGCGACGUAAUUUUUAUACACACCAUCAAUCAUCCCAUACAACUUUCCAGAGAUAUUUAUCUACAAGAGAGGCACACGGUUUACAGUAGUGCCUAUUUCAUUCCAACACUCGAUGAAAUUCUUUGAACACUGUUCAUUGACUGAUGUAUACCCUUAGAAAAACCAGCAACUUUUUCGGAACCCUUCUUGUUUUGACUAGUAGGAGAUGAGGGCAUGUUACACGAGUAAACUCCCAUUAGAAAAAGCAGUAACUUUUCCACACCCUUUGCAUAAUCACCAACCCACAUUAGGCCAAGUCUCUUAUACUGAGUCUUCGUAAGGGUCUACAAACGCCAAAAGUAAAUUUUCCCGCACCAAUUGAUAAGAAUUUUGGGUAUCAUUCACAUCACUGCUGUUACAAGCACAAUUCACUCUGAAUCAACUCACCAAUGAAAAAACACAUAAAAGUAACUUUAGGGCCUUCAUAAAAAUAUCACUUACUUCACUUCAGCACUUCUCCGAAUCCGCUAAUCCUCUUCCAAAUAUUUAUCACACCAUAAAGAUGCAAUAUCCUUUCUAAUACCUUCCUUCAAGGGUUUAGCUCAGCACCAUUUUUUCACAAAAUGCAUGUCACCCACUUACAUUUCAUCAGUGAAAUCUUAAGCUCACAAUUUCAUGUAGCAUUAGGUGGUUACCUUCUAGGACUCUGACUUUGAAGCACAAUGGCAAGGGCAGAAGCUAGCAGCAAAAAAAGUUUCCCGUGGCACCGGAUGAGAUCAACAAAACUCUCAACGAGCAUGUUGAUACUCGACAGUCAGAAGAGUCUCCUACACACACUGAUGAUGAAUUACAGCACUGGGAUUGUGAACCUCAGCAAGAGGAUACACCAAUUGUUGAACCAAAUACAAUCGUUGCUGAGACAGAGAUAGAAACAGGACGUGACUCCCCAAAUAUUGUAAGCGGUGAUAUUUCCUUCCCGUACUGGCCUUUUCAUUUCCAUCAUUAAAAGCCACGACUUACAAUUCAGGAGGCAUUCCCUAGCUCCCUCCUCAAACUCCAACUUUCAUAUGUUCAUUGGAGCAAAAGGGAAACAGUAGUAGUAAGGAACACAUAAAUUAAUUACUUAUGCUAGAAUAUCCACUUUCAUUUCCAUCAUUGAAAUCUAACAAUUACAGUACCAUCAGGCAUCACUAGUUCCCUUCUAGGAGUCCAACUUUGAAAUAUUCUUUGGAGCAGAAGGGCAACUGCUAGUAACAUAACAAAUUUUCCAAUAGUGAAUUACUUUUGGCGUUUGUAGACCUUCAUAGAUUCAGGAGGCAUUCACUAGCUCCCUUCUCAGACUCUUUAACUUUCAUACGUUCGAUGGAGCAUCAGGACAACCGUAGUAACAAUGAUAAAACAAAUUAAAUUUGCUUGUUCGAACACCCACGCUCAUUGAAAUCUAACGCUUAUGGUACCAAAAGGCAUCACUAGUUCCCUUCUAGGACUCCAACUUUAAUAUAUUCUUUCCAUCAAUAAAACCCAACGUUUAUAGCUUCACGAGGCAUUCAAUAGUUCUGUUCCGUCCUCGGACUCCAUCAUUGAAAUCCGACACUUAUAGUACGAAAAGGCAUUGACUGGUUCCCUUCUAGGACUCCAACUUUAAUAUAUUCUUUGGAGCAGAAGGGCAACCACGAGGAACAUAAAAAUCGGCCAAGACUGACUUUCAUUUCCAUCAUUCAAAUCCAACGAUUAUAAUUUCAUAAGGCAUUCCCUAGUUCCCUCCUAGGACUCCAACUUUAAUAUAUUAUUUGGAGCAAAAGGGCAACCGCAAGGAACAUAACAAAUCCAGCAACAAUGAAUUUCGUUUCAUGAGGCAUUCACUAAUUUCCUCUUCGAACUCCAUCUUUCAUAUGUUUAUUGGAGCAGUAGGGCAACCGAAGCAGCAAGGGGCAAAAAAAAUAAUUUCAGGAGGCAUUCCCUAGAUCCCUCCUAGGACUCCACCUUUCAUAUGUUCAUUGGAGCAGAAGGGCAACCGCAGUAGCAAGGAGCGAACAACAUAAAUUUUCCUGUUAGAACACCCACUUUCAUCUCCAUCUAACUUCCCUAGUUCCCUCCUAGGACUCCAACUUUAAUAUAUUAUUUGGAGCAAAAGGGCAACUGCAAGGAACAUAACAAAUCCACCAACAAUGAAUUUCGUUUCACGAGGCAUUCACUAAGUUCCUCUUCGAACUCUAUCUUUCAUAUGUUUAUUGGAGCAGUAGGGCAACCGAAGCAGCAAGGGGCAAAAAAAAUAAUUUCAGGAGGCAUUCCCUAGAUCCCUCCUAGGACUCCACCUUUCAUAUGUUCAUUGGAGCAGAAGGGCAACCGCAGUAGCAAGGAGCGAACAACAUAAAUUUUCCUGUUAGAACACCCACUUUCAUCUCCAUCUAACACUUAUAAAUUUGAAGGCCUUCACUAGUUCCCUUAUAGGACUCAACUUUGAUAUAUUCUUUGGAGCAGAAGGGCAACCGUAAAGAACAUAACAAAUCUGCCAACACCGACUUUCAUUUUCAUCAUUAAAAUACAACAUUUAGAGUUUUAGAAGGCAUUCACUAGUUUCCGCCACGGACUCCAACUUUCAUCACAUUUGUAUUUGAUUAGCAGCUAACAGCAAAGAGGUAUGCCUUAUUUUAUAAUGACACUUGCAAUACUCAUCAUCUUGAUACCACAACCAGCGUAUUGUUGUGUCAUUUUGGACUAAUAUUCUAACCCCAAAAUCAAUAGACAAUAGACAGGAUAAGAGACAGGAAACUAUGCUAAGAGCAUAAACUUGUACAGAGUAGAUAGCAAGCCACUCAAAAAUGAACAUUCCUGGUAGUCAAUUUUGCGUAGAUAGAAUCAUAUCACCGAGAGAAGAUCAAAACAUCAAACAAAAACAACUAGAAAUGUCUUUAUCCCACAAGCUAGUAAUAGAGAGCCAAUUAUUACUGUGACCCGCAACAACAUCAAGGCGCUUUCAAGAAUUACCUAAAAGACCGAGCAUGGAAUCGUUUCCCAAAACCUAAUAAAACCUUAGUACUCAAACACGAACCAUGGGAACUUGUCCUGGUAGCUUAGGUGUAUAAAAGAUGAACAGUAAUCCCAGAAUAAUACAUCAGAGGCGUAGAGGUUUUGUUGUUUACCAAAAAAAAUCUCGUUUUGAGCACUUGUAGCAUCCAUGUUCGGCAACAGGAACCUUACCCAUUACACGAAGGCGUAAAAUUUUAGAGCUUUGAAGAGAGAAACAUGAAACUUAGCAACCAAGAUUUCUCAUCCGAUUACCCACAACAAGACCGAUAACACAAUUUGACGUAAUCAGAUACUACCCCCAAAUUGAACGGACGGAUUGAGGAAAGGAAAUUCGAAACCAGAGGGACAUAUAAACAUAGCUAAUUUACCGGCCAUACCUUAGAAUACCCACACAAGCUCUAAUUCCGAGAACCCUCCACCCUUUUCCGACUCCAAAGGUCCUCUCCCCAAAGGUUUCCGUCGAUCCGGCAAUCCCACACGAGCCGUUGUUUCCGCUUACCGAUCUCCUGACCGCCAACAUAGCUCUGAUGGCCUCUCGUCACCGGACACGAGAUCUCCAUGACCCUAGGAACUCCCAACCUCUCUCCACCGGACCUCCACGUGCUCCGCUUCCUUAGUUGUUUUCCAGGAGAAAUCGCCAAGAUUUUGGAAUCUUUAUCCCUCGUCCCCUAAUGCCCCU